AAAUUGAACAAAAAUCAACCAAACAACGGAAAAGACACGCAAGUGAAGACAAAUAUGAGCAAGAUUUCAAAUGACUUAUAGUCACAGAGGAAGGAUACUACUGUUCUGUGUGCCAAAAAUACGGCACAAAAGCAAGAAACAGGACAGAAACCUGGAUCGAAAGGCCUUAAAUACAUGCUGAUGCAUAAAAUUGUAAAUGAAAGAAGAGAUAAAAGAGAUAAAUUUUUGAAAAAAUAAAAUCAAAGAAUAUUUGACAAUUAAUAUGACUACUUCUAUUUAUGUUUGUUCAACUCCAUUAAAUGUGAAUAUUAUACUAAUCUUUAUUUCUGUGACCCCCACGUGCACCCACAGUAAAUUAAAAAAGGUUGGAAAUUUAAAAAAAAACAAACCACCCGGAUGCAAGUUAUUUUUUUAAAACACCCACCUUACCUUAGUGAAAAAAGGAAAACACUGU
Molecule: long non-coding RNA, 454 nt
Filed under: Mytilus galloprovincialis (Mediterranean mussel)
Lineage: Eukaryota; Metazoa; Mollusca; Bivalvia; Mytilida; Mytilidae
Source: RNAcentral